This 407-nucleotide ribosomal RNA is filed under the name uncultured bacterium. RNAcentral's name for it is "partial 16S ribosomal RNA". It matches the Rfam family "Bacterial small subunit ribosomal RNA", at positions 30 to 526 of the family's 1533-position model. The record is from RNAcentral.
AUUGAACGCUGGCGGCAGGCCUAACACAUGCAAGUCGAACGGAGUGGCGAACGGGUGAGUAAUGUCUCGGAACGUGCCCAGUAGCGGGGGAUAACUACGCGAAAGCGUAGCUAAUACCGCAUACUAUUGGAGCGGCCGAUGUCGGAUUAGCUAGUUGGUGGGGUAACGGCCUACCAAGGCGACGAUCCGUAGCUGGUUUGAGAGGACGACCAGCCACACGGGGACGGAGACACGGCCCAGACUCCUACGGGAGGCAGCAGUGGGGAAUUUUGGACAAUGGGGGAAAGCCUGAUCCAGCCAUGCCGCGUGUGUGAAGAAGGUCUUCGGGUUGUAAAGCACUUUUGGCAGGAAAGCGGUACCUGCAGAAUAAGCACCGGCUAACUACGUGCCAGCAGCCGCGGUAAUAC